RNAcentral lists this non-coding RNA (231 nucleotides) under Geomicrobium sp. Its description in RNAcentral is "T-box sequence". It matches the Rfam family "T-box leader". From Rfam's summary of the family: Uncharged tRNA acts as the effector for transcription antitermination of genes in the T-box leader family. T-boxes are found upstream of many aminoacyl-tRNA synthetase genes and some amino acid biosynthetic genes usually in Gram-positive bacteria. The anticodon of a specific tRNA base pairs to a specifier sequence within the T-box motif, and the NCCA acceptor tail of the tRNA base pairs to a conserved bulge in the T-box antiterminator hairpin. Lineage: Bacteria; Bacillati; Bacillota; Bacilli; Caryophanales. The record is from RNAcentral.
GCUAAAGCAUUGAGAGACAAUAGUAACUUCGACGAUUUCUCAGAGAGUCGGCGGUUGGUGAAAGCCGGUAAGUUGAUUGAAGUGAAUCCAGUCUUGAGUGAGAAAUGGAAACCAUUAAGGCGUAAUUUUCUCCGUUGUCCAGCGUUAAUGGAGUUGAGCGGAUCAGUAGCUAAACGUAAUCUAUUAGCGCUGAUAAUGAGGGUGGCAUCGCGGUGUUCAAUCGUCCCUGUA